RNAcentral lists this ribosomal RNA (435 nucleotides) under uncultured bacterium. Its description in RNAcentral is "bacterial SSU rRNA". It matches the Rfam family "Bacterial small subunit ribosomal RNA", at positions 355 to 786 of the family's 1533-position model. The record is from RNAcentral.
UGAGGAAUAUUGGUCAAUGGUCGGGAGACUGAACCAGCCAAGCCGCGUGAGGGAUGAAGGUACAGAGUAUCGUAAACCUCUUUUGUCAGGGAACAAAAGGCGCCACGUGCGGCGCUCCGAGUGUACCUGAAGAAAAAGGCAUCGGCUAACUCCGUGCCAGCAGCCGCGGUAAUACGGAGGAUGCGAGCGUUAUCCGGAUUUAUUGGGUUUAAAGGGUGCGUAGGCGGCGAGUUAAGUCAGCGGUAAAAUGCCCGGGGCUCAACCCCGGCCCGCCGUUGAAACUGGCUUGCUUGAGUUGGAGAGAAGUAGGCGGAAUGCGCGGUGUAGCGGUGAAAUGCUUAGAUAUCGCGCAGAACUCCGAUUGCGAAGGCAGCCUACCGGCUCCACACUGACGCUGAGGCACGAAAGCGUGGGUAUCGAACAGGAUUAGAUACC